RNAcentral lists this ribosomal RNA (343 nucleotides) under uncultured bacterium. RNAcentral's name for it is "bacterial SSU rRNA". It matches the Rfam family "Bacterial small subunit ribosomal RNA", at positions 28 to 377 of the family's 1533-position model. The record is from RNAcentral.
GAUGAACGCUAGCGGCAGGCUUAACACAUGCAAGUCGAGGGGUAUGCUGAUUUAUCGGCAGAGACCGGCGCACGGGUGCGUAACGCGUAUGCAAUCUACCUUUCACAGAGGAUAGCCCAGAGAAUUUGGAUUAAUACCUCAUAGUAUGUGAGGAUGGCAUCAUUUUCACAUUAAAGUCACAACGGCAAAAGAUGAGCAUGCGUCCCAUUAGCUAGUUGGUAAGGUAACGGCUUACCAAGGCUACGAUGGGUAGGGUCCUGAGAGGGAGAUCCCCCACACUGGUACUGAGACACGGACCAGACUCCUACGGGAGGCAGCAGUGAGGAAUAUUGGACAAUGGGCG